GCCCCGGUAGCUCAGUGGGAGAGCGCCGUCUCGACAAGGCGGAUGUCGGAGGUUCGAACCCUCCUCGGGGCAC
Molecule: transfer RNA, 73 nt
Filed under: Phytohabitans flavus
Lineage: Bacteria; Bacillati; Actinomycetota; Actinomycetes; Micromonosporales; Micromonosporaceae
Description: tRNA-Val
Rfam family: tRNA
About the family: Transfer RNA (tRNA) molecules are approximately 80 nucleotides in length. Their secondary structure includes four short double-helical elements and three loops (D, anti-codon, and T loops).
Source: RNAcentral